AGCCCCUUCUUGGAAGGGCUCGUAUCUCUCUGCCGAACGCUGCGGGAGGCACUAGCACCCUUGCCCUGGCAUAACCUCGCCAGGUUUGACCUCAGCCUAUUCAAGGUAGAGAAAAAUCAAAAUAAAGUGUUAACAUUGCUAAGGCCAAAGAAGGUAUCACCAUCAGAGCACUGUCAGGGGAAAGGAACAAGGUUAGGUCCUUUAAUAUAAGAAAAGAAAGACCAAGAGGACUUCAACACUAACAAGGCAUUGGUUCUCUAAAAACAGACUAGCAUCUGAUAGCACACAAGCUAAGGUUUCAUGUGACAGAGUAAACUACUGAUGGUAAAAGAUGCUGCGGCUAAUGGAUUUGGGAAGAAAAAUAAAACAGCCUAAGCUAAACUCCUUACAUUGGAGGAAGGUCAUUACAAACAGAUGCUGAAAGGGGAGACAUCCAGUGGAGGGGAGUGGACAAAUUCCCUCAUGUGACUUCCACGAUGGAUGUGGAAAACUAACAGUACCCUGAGUCUUCACUGAUCUUAGAGGUUUAUGGUAUAAAGUAGACGGGGACAGUUGGAACAAGGAGUACUUCCGGAGGAAUGGCAUGGACCUUAGCCUGCUUGUACGUGAGAAGAACAAAUCAGCAGGAGUUUGGUGAGAUUUGAAGUAAGAUGGGACUCUGGCUUAAAGGCCCACGGACAGCUCAGUAAUGAGAACUUGAGAGCGCCACAGUGGUCAAAACAAAGGAGAAAAGUUUUCAAAAAGUUACCUUUUUUGUACCCAGCUUUUGAAAAAUUCUUUCAUUUUAGAUACCCUAAAAGAUGUACUGUUCUUAUGAGUAAGUAGUUCCGAUGGGGACAGUAAAAGAAAGAAAACUUCAAAAACCCCAAGUUGUGGCCUCAUAAUGAAAACUAAUAGAAACAU
Molecule: long non-coding RNA, 903 nt
Organism: Pygoscelis adeliae (Adelie penguin)
Lineage: Eukaryota; Metazoa; Chordata; Aves; Sphenisciformes; Spheniscidae
Exons: 3
Source: RefSeq, a predicted model, not a curated record